Molecule: ribosomal RNA, 454 nt
Filed under: Yola costipennis
Lineage: Eukaryota; Metazoa; Arthropoda; Insecta; Coleoptera; Dytiscidae
Description: partial 16S ribosomal RNA
Source: RNAcentral
AACAAAAACAUGUCCUUUAGGGAAGAAUUUAAGGUUUAACCUGCCCAUUGAUUAUUUUAACGGCCGCAGUAUUUUAACUGUGCAAAGGUAGCAUAAUCAUUAGUUUUUUAAUUGAAAGCUUGUAUGAAUGGUUGGACGAAAUAUUAACUGUCUUUAAAUUAUGUAUAGAAUUUAAUUUUUAAGUUAAAAAGCUUAAAUAUAUUUAAAAGACGAGAAGACCCUAUAGAUUUUUAUAUUUUAUAGAUUUAAUUUUUAAGGAUUAAUAAUUUUUAUAUUGAAUAAAAUAUUUUAUUGGGGUAAUAAAAAGAUUUAUAAAAUUCUUUUAUUUUUUAACAUUGAUUAUUGAUAUUUUUGAUCCAAUAUUAUUGAUUAUAAGAUUAAGUUACCUUAGGGAUAACAGCGUAAUUUUUUUUGAGAGUUCUUAUCGAUAAAAAAGUUUGCGACCUCGAUGUUG